GAUGAACGCUGGCAGCGUGCUUAACACAUGCAAGUCGAGCGAAGCACUUAAGUCUGAUUCUUCGGAUGAAGAUUUUUGUGACUGAGCGGCGGACGGGUGAGUAACGCGUGGGUAACCUGCCUCAUACAGGGGGAUAACAGUUAGAAAUGACUGCUAAUACCGCAUAAGACCACGGUACCGCAUGGUACAGUGGUAAAAACUCCGGUGGUAUGAGAUGGACCCGCGUCUGAUUAGGUAGUUGGUGGGGUAACGGCCUACCAAGCCGACGAUCAGUAGCCGACCUGAGAGGGUGACCGGCCACAUUGGGACUGAGACACGGCCCAGACUCCUACGGGAGGCAGCAGUGGGGAAUAUUGCACAAUGGAGGAAACUCUGAUGCAGCGACGCCGCGUGAAGGAUGAAGUAUUUCGGUAUGUAAACUUCUAUCAGCAGGGAAGAAAAUGACGGUACCUGACUAAGAAGCCCCGGCUAACUACGUGCCAGCAGCCGCGGUAA
This 495-nucleotide ribosomal RNA is filed under the name uncultured Lachnospiraceae bacterium. RNAcentral describes it as "bacterial SSU rRNA". It matches the Rfam family "Bacterial small subunit ribosomal RNA", at positions 28 to 523 of the family's 1533-position model. The record is from RNAcentral. Lineage: Bacteria; Bacillati; Bacillota; Clostridia; Lachnospirales; Lachnospiraceae.